GAUGAACGCUGGCGGCGUGCCUAAUACAUGCAAGUCGAGCGAACGGACGAGAAGCUUGCUUCUUUGAUGUUAGCGGCGGACGGGUGAGUAACACGUGGAUAACCUACCUAUAAGACUGGGAUAAUUUCGGGAAACCGGAGCUAAUACCGGAUAAUCUUUUGAACCGCAUGGUUCAAAAGUGAAUGACGGUCUUGCUGUCACUUAUAGCUGGAUCCGCGCUGCAUUAGCUAGUUGGUAAGGUAACGGCUUAUCAAGGCAACGAUGCAUAGCCGACCUGAGAGGGUGAUCGGCCACACGGGAACUGAGACACGGUCCAGACUACUGCGAGAGGCAGCAGUAGGGAAUCUGCCGCAAUAGGCGAGAGCCUGACGGAGCAACGCCGCGUGAGUGAUGAAGGUCUUCGGAGCGUAAAACUCUGUUAUUAGGGAAGAACAGAUGUGUAAGUAACUGUGCACAGCUUGACGGUACCUAAUCAGAAAGCCACGGCUAACUACGUG
RNAcentral lists this ribosomal RNA (497 nucleotides) under uncultured bacterium. RNAcentral describes it as "partial 16S ribosomal RNA". It matches the Rfam family "Bacterial small subunit ribosomal RNA", at positions 28 to 507 of the family's 1533-position model. The record is from RNAcentral.